UAGGGAAUCUUCCACAAUGGACGCAAGUCUGAUGGAGCAACGCCGCGUGAGUGAAGAAGGUUUUCGGAUCGUAAAGCUCUGUUGUUGGUGAAGAAGGAUAGAGGCAGUAACUGGUCUUUAUUUGACGGUAAUCAACCAGAAAGUCACGGCUAACUACGUGCCAGCAGCCGCGGUAGUACGUAGGUGGCAAGCGUUGUCCGGAUUUAUUGGGCGUAAAGCGAGCGCAGGCGGAAUGAUAAGUCUGAUGUGAAAGCCCACGACUCAACCGUGGAACUGCAUCGGAAACUGUCAUUCUUGAGUGCAGAAGAGGAGAGUGGAACUCCAUGUGUAGCGGUGGAAUGCGUAGAUAUAUGGAAGAACACCAGUGGCGAAGGCGGCUCUCUGGUCUGCAACUGACGCUGAGGCUCGAAAGCAUGGGUAGCGAACAGGAUUAGAUACCCUGGUAGUCCAUGCCGUAAACGAUGAGCGCUAGGUGUUGGGGACUUUCCGGUUCUCAGUGCCGCAGCAAACGCAUUAAGCGCUCCGCCUGGGGAGUACGACCGCAAGGUUGAA
This 552-nucleotide ribosomal RNA is filed under the name uncultured bacterium. RNAcentral describes it as "partial 16S ribosomal RNA". It matches the Rfam family "Bacterial small subunit ribosomal RNA", at positions 355 to 898 of the family's 1533-position model. The record is from RNAcentral.